RNAcentral lists this ribosomal RNA (408 nucleotides) under uncultured bacterium. Its description in RNAcentral is "bacterial SSU rRNA". It matches the Rfam family "Bacterial small subunit ribosomal RNA", at positions 9 to 416 of the family's 1533-position model. The record is from RNAcentral.
GAGUUUGAUCGUGGCUCAGAGUGAACGCUGGCGGCAUGCCUAACACAUGCAAGUCGAACGGUAACAGGCCCGCAAGGGUGCUGACGAGUGGCGGGACGGGUGAGGAAUACAUCGGAAUUUGCCCAGUCGUGGGGGAUAACGUAGGGAAACUUACGCUAAUACCGCAUACGACCGAGAGGUGAAAGCGGGGGAUCUGUAAGGACCUCGCGCGAGUGGAUCAGCCGAUGUCGGAUUAGCUAGUUGGCGGGGUAAAGGCCCACCAAGGCGACGAUCCGUAGCUGGUCUGAGAGGAUGAUCAGCCACACUGGGACUGAGACACGGCCCAGACUCCUACGGGAGGCAGCAGUGGGGAAUAUUGGACAAUGGGGGCAACCCUGAUCCAGCAAUGCCGCGUGUGUGAAGAAGGCC